This 340-nucleotide ribosomal RNA is filed under the name uncultured bacterium. RNAcentral's name for it is "bacterial SSU rRNA". It matches the Rfam family "Bacterial small subunit ribosomal RNA", at positions 888 to 1227 of the family's 1533-position model. The record is from RNAcentral.
AAAACAACCAAACUUAAAGGAAUUGACGGGGACCCGCACAAGCGGUGGAGCAUGUGGUUUAAUUCGAAGCAACGCGAAGAACCUUACCAGGUCUUGACAUCCUCUGACAAUCCUAGAGAUAGGACUUUCCCCUUCGGGGGACAGAGUGACAGGUGGUGCAUGGUUGUCGUCAGCUCGUGUCGUGAGAUGUUGGGUUAAGUCCCGCAACGAGCGCAACCCUUAUUCUUAGUUGCCAGCAUUCAGUUGGGCACUCUAAGGAGACUGCCGGUGACAAACCGGAGGAAGGUGGGGAUGACGUCAAAUCAUCAUGCCCCUUAUGACCUGGGCUACACACGUGCUA